RNAcentral lists this unclassified non-coding RNA (352 nucleotides) under soil metagenome. Its description in RNAcentral is "partial contains 5.8S ribosomal RNA, internal transcribed spacer 2, and large subunit ribosomal RNA". The stretch from base 1 to 120 matches the Rfam family "5.8S ribosomal RNA", at positions 35 to 154 of the family's 154-position model. The record is from RNAcentral.
GAUGAAGAACGCAGCGAAAUGCGAUAAGUAAUGUGAAUUGCAGAAUUCAGUGAAUCAUCGAAUCUUUGAACGCACAUUGCGCCCGUCAGUAUUCUGGCGGGCAUGCCUGUUCGAGCGUCAUUACAACCCUCAGGCCCCCGGGCCUGGCGUUGGGGAUCGGCGGAGCCCCCCGUGGGCACACGCCGUCCCCCAAAUACAGUGGCGGUCCCGCCGCAGCUUCCAUCGCGUAGUAGCUAACACCUCGCGACUGGAGAGCGGCGCGGCCACGCCGUAAAACACCCAACUCUUCUGAAGUUGACCUCGAAUCAGGUAGGAAUACCCGCUGAACUUAAGCAUAUCAAUAAGCGGAGGA